GGAGAGGUGGCCGAGUGGUUGAUGGCACCGGUCUUGAAAACCGGCAUACCCGGAAGGGUAUCGGGGGUUCGAAUCCCUCCCUCUCCGCCA
RNAcentral lists this transfer RNA (90 nucleotides) under Acidobacteriota bacterium. RNAcentral describes it as "Acidobacteria bacterium tRNA-Ser". It matches the Rfam family "tRNA". From Rfam's summary of the family: Transfer RNA (tRNA) molecules are approximately 80 nucleotides in length. RNAcentral also lists the same sequence under 3 other names. Lineage: Bacteria; Pseudomonadati; Acidobacteriota. The record is from RNAcentral.